This 3831-nucleotide long non-coding RNA is filed under the name Homo sapiens (human). RNAcentral's name for it is "HSALNT0361225". Lineage: Eukaryota; Metazoa; Chordata; Mammalia; Primates; Hominidae. The record is from RNAcentral.
AGGACACAUUCACUGCUGCCCUCUCUGCGGCCAGCUCUGUGCUAGGGCUCAGGCUGUGUGCUGGGAGGGGCACACAUCGUGCCUUCUAGGGACUGAUGGAAGAUCUAGGAUUUGCUUGUCUGUGUCCUCAGCCUCUUGUCCCCUUGCUUCACCUGAAAUGCACCUGGGUGUUCCCAUCCACUCACAAGGCUUCAUCUCCCACAACUCUUACAUUGAGAACAUCCAAGGCUGCAUUGUGGACCCAGCCCUCUUCUAAACUCUACCUACCUGCUCUCUGGACCCUGCACCCCGGAUGUCCCACAGCACCUCACGUUGGGGUAUGUAGUUUUGGACUUCCUGUGAGUCUGAACAUUCACUCUAUACAUUCUGUCUCUGUGAGUGACAUCACUCAGCCCCUUGAGGCACCAUCGUAGCUUUCUGCUUUUCCCUGUCCACCUUCCUCCACCAACCCAGACAAUCAUCAAGCACUGCUCAUGCCAUCUACUGAGCAUCUCUCAAUUCUAUGCACCUCACCUUCCCUAGAGCCACUUCUGAGCUAGGGCCUUCCUGUCUGUUGCCCAGAUCUUGGCAUCAUCAUGGGCAUCUACACCUAACUUGCUCCUCUCAAAUCCAUCCUGCAACUGACACCAGAGUGAGCUUCCUAAGAUCAUGUCCUCCCAGCCUACUUAAACCCUUCAGAAGACCCCCACUUCCUCUGGACAGAAUCUAAGCUACUUUAGUCCGCCCGAUGAUCCUGCCAACUGUCCAGCCUUAUCUACUACCAGGCCCUGGCUUUAACUCCUAAUGACAACAUCACCUUCUGUCUGUCCCUUCCCUCCCUCCAGCCCCACUACUUCCCCUCCAUGUCCAUCCUCAGCCAUGCUCUUGUAAAAAUUACACCCAGAUUUUCAAUGAGAACUUGGAACAAUAAUUAGGAAUCUUCAGAAUCCAAUUUCAAGUAUCAGAAGGAAAAGUGAUACCCAGAUGCAAAGCUGGACAUUGCUGACCCCACCCCAAAUGGACGCUGGAGACCCAGACCCCUCAUCUGCUAAGCAGACAGACUGUAAGUGGUCAUGGAAGAAGGGUGCAAAAGUGAACACAUUCUGUUAACACUCAUGGCCUCCAGAAAACAGAAGAAUCACGGACAUCAGCUGAGAAGCGCAUCUCAUCCUUCCCCUCCCAUAACACUGUUGGGAAAAUCAGGCUCAGAGAAAGGAAAGGUCAAAGCCAAGGCUCCCAAUAUGGAGUCUUCCAUUCUCUCUGCUUGGACACAUGCCCCAAAGCUGCACAGCCAGCCUCAAGGGAGUCAGUGCAAGGGGCACACGCACAGACAUCCUGCAUGCCGGCACCUGCCAGGUGGGGAAGUGGACGUGUGCAUGCACCUGCAACUGGAGACCUCAUCCUCCAUCUCCCAGAAACUCUCUUUCAGGUGUCUUUAGUCUUGCUACAGGUGGAAUGAGACCCUCCAGUCAGAGUAAAAGGACAUCUCAAAGCCAAUGCUCAGGCCAGCACUUUCUCAAGCACAACAUCCUCCCUGGUUUCCUUCCUGCCAAAGCUCUCAGGUUUGGUCACAGGGUUAAACCAAGGAAAGUGGACCAGGAAAAAAGGUGAACUUAUCAACUGUAGAUGAAGCCAGCUUCCUCCAGGGAGGUCCAUUCUUACCUUAAGGCUGGACCAUGGGGCCCGUGCUACUGAGACUUGUGCCAUGACCCCCUGGAGGACAACCGGGGAAAGAUGGUCAAACAGAACCUCAGGGCUGGAUAAACUGCAUCUCUCAAGGGUCAUAGCUCCCUGGGGCAGGCAGCCCUUUUGAGGCUAAGCUGCUGGAUGGUGAUUAUGAAACCUCCUCAUGCACACUCUGAGCAUCAGGGUGUUUGCUCUUCCCAGAGCGGUCCCUCCAUCUUUGUAGUUGGCCAUUGCUGCUUCACCUAAAGCUCAAACACACCUCCCUUCAGUCCUAGUUCUGUCCUCCAUGGCCCCACAGAACAUGACUCUUCAGUCGGUCACAGUGCUUUGCAUUAGUGCACUGAAUGGCUAGUGGAGCACAGCCAGGGGAGGACAGGAGGAGGGUAUUCUCUGGAGACAGGUGUGCCCCCCUACUGACAGACCCUGCUCAGCAGAACAGAAGCCCUUCAGCGAAUGAGACCUACCCUCUGCGGAAGGCUGGUUAGGAAGCAUCCAUGUCUACUUCAGCGUCUCACCUCCCUGUCACAAACAGAUCACCACAGUUUUCCUCCAGCCUCAUGCUGUCCUCCCCCUAGAGGAAUGUGGGUACAUGGAAUGUUCUCCACCUCCAUGCAUGUCCAGUGACGUUUUGGAUCAGCGUGUCAGGGACGCUGUCAGGCGUGCCUGCUUGCACUCAUCCAGCCCUGGCUGGAUGUGAUUCUACGAGCAGAGCAAGACCAGCAUGUUCUGUCCUCCAGUUAUCACAGCAGUUACUCUGGCAACCUGCAGGCCCUCCCUGAGGUGUCUGACGGCUGAAGCAGGGUCCAGUGGGAUGGAAUGAAGGAUGGGCACCCUGGAAGACAGCCCAUGGAGGGGCCCUUUGGGUCCCCUGCUGCCCUGGGCACCUGCGAAGAGAGAAGCUGAGCCACCCUGCCUGAGGCAGUAGGCAGUAAGAGCUGAAGGGAGCAGGAGGUUAGGGCCCAGCGGGAAGUGAGAGCAGUGGGGCCAGCACCAGGGUAAGCUGAAUAAAGCUCUCGCCUGAGGCGCAGAAUUUAAAGAUUUGCCAAAAAACUCAGCAGCCAAGAAAUUUAAUACUUCCAGCAAAUCAAAGCAAAACUGUCCAUGAUAAACAAGACUGGAGUUAGGGUAAGGCAAGUGAGGCCAAUACAAGGCCCGCAAAUCCAGUGUUGUAUCUUGUCUUUAUUAAAGGUUUGAUUUUGUUGUAUGUGCUUUGCAUUCAUUUUGAUUUAAAAAAAUACUAUAUUGAAAUAUCAUUUAUCUUAAUUACUGAGCUUGUUCGAGGUCCUUUGAAUGUUGCACUUGAGGUCAAUGUCUUUCUAGCCUCACCCUAGUCUCAGCCCUGGAGGGGAGGGACAGACUGAGUCAGGAGCAGGAAGGAGCACAGUGCCAUUGAAAACGCAUCAUGCGACAAGGAGCCGGGAGACAUGGGUUCCCAUCUGUCCCCUUCACAGAUUCUCCUCAGUUCUGAUAGAAUCAGAUUCAGAUUUCACAAGACUGCAACAUGAAUAUUGCUGCUGGGGAGCACAGGUGCCUAGCAUGCACAUGGACCCCCUCCAUACAGGGUGAUAGUGAGUCAUAAGGUGGCACCCACCUCCUGCCCUCCGUCAGGUUGUCUGCUAAGGGGAGGAGAUGGGAGAAGAAGGGGAGAGGGGAAUGGAGGGGGUGGGCAGGGAAGAAGCUGGCAAGUUUGCAUGACUGGGAGCAGGAAUGGCAGAUGAGCUGUAAUUGCCUGAAGCUGAGAGAGGCUGUUGAUAAAUGUUACUAAUAAUCAACCUUCAGAUCUGACACCCAGCUCAGGCUGGGAUUACUGUUUUGAAUGGAAAUUGAACCCAAACCAAUAAUUACCCUGGUGAGCGAUGCCAGUCUUACUCUGGAGCCUGUUUUAGGCAGGGAAAUCGCACCUGCAUGUCAGUACCAGCCCAUGAGGUAGAUGAUCCAGCAAAGGACUCCCUCCUGGGGUCACACCAAGAGCACAAACUGGCCUGGACUCUGCCAACACAAUGGGCCACAGUAUCAACAGGAAUGCUCACCCUCUUCCUAGAGCUUACAGUGGGUGAGGGACUCCCACCCAUCAUUGUCAAUCUUCAAGCAGAGUCCAGACCUCAGACCCCACUCCCACUGUCCUUCCCCCUUGGGCUUCAUGGAAGUCCCUUGUUGACAUCAUCC